This 216-nucleotide long non-coding RNA is filed under the name Salvia miltiorrhiza (redroot sage). RNAcentral's name for it is "long non-coding RNA (SMIL_LNC011291)". The record is from RNAcentral. Lineage: Eukaryota; Viridiplantae; Streptophyta; Magnoliopsida; Lamiales; Lamiaceae.
GAUCAGAGAUGAACUGCGAGGCUAGGUUUGGGAGCAACGCAUCUGGUGUAGGGUAGUAAUCUGAAUUUUUCGAAAGGGAUUUUGGUGAAUCGAGUAGAGAGAGAACAAGAAUUAGAAAGAGGGAUAAAUAAGGAGGUGGGGGCUGGACGGCUUUGCUGUUCGGCCGAGAAAUGGAAGCACGGCGAAGGCGGCGAUCCAAUUGGCUGUCAUUGGCGG